RNAcentral lists this long non-coding RNA (382 nucleotides) under Capra hircus (goat). RNAcentral's name for it is "lncRNA (ENSCHIG00000004439.1)". The record is from RNAcentral. Lineage: Eukaryota; Metazoa; Chordata; Mammalia; Artiodactyla; Bovidae.
CAAGGCGGAUGCAUCCGGAGGGCUGGGGCCACGCCCACCCGCAGAGCAGGCGUGCCGGGUGGGCCAGCCGAGGGCGCACGUGGGACUCCCCCUGCUCUCGCCCGAUGCGUUUCUCCUGCGACCGGCACAUCAGGUGAUAAUGGAAGGCUAUUAUCCUCGAGGGGAUCGUCCUGACCCAGGGGAUGAACGCACGCCUCUUGCAUCUCCUGCGUUGAAAGGCGGGUGGAUCGUCCGGACCCAGGGGAUGAACCCACGACUCUUGUAUCUCCUGCACUGAAAGGCGGGUUCUCUACCACCAGCGCCACCUGGGAAGCCCACCCAUUAAUGGAAGCUUCUGCCCAAAUGCAGCUGAUGCAGCCUGGCAAUGAUGGUAAGUCCAGGC